RNAcentral lists this long non-coding RNA (561 nucleotides) under Equus caballus (horse). RNAcentral describes it as "lncRNA (ENSECAG00000036780.3)". Lineage: Eukaryota; Metazoa; Chordata; Mammalia; Perissodactyla; Equidae. The record is from RNAcentral.
AAGGGAAGAACCUCAAUGGCCCACUGGGGUCCGUGUCAGCACACCUGGACUAGGUCAGAACAAUGGCCCCCACCAAUGCCUCAGUCUCCAGAGAGGUCUCUCCUCUCACCAAGAUGCCCCCAGAGCCCACCAGGGCUCUGCAAGGUAGCAAAUCAUUGUAGCACUGAGUCACAGAGACUGUAUUCUUGAAGUCCUGGCAGAGGCAAAUUUCUCAUUAACAUUGAUCUGAGAGACAUCUGCGAUGAGCCUGUACAACGAGCCGACCUGCCGAGCUGACCCGAAGCUGAUGAGUGGUUCCGAAGGGAGGCAGGCUGGGAAUGAAGACACCACAGUGAAAUGAGCCCAUCUCUGUUUUCAGAACAUGACUUCGUAACUCCAGACUUAUAUGUUGAAUUUCUUGAGGCUUAAAUGUAUAAGCUCUUCCACUAUAUCGUCCUCUACAAUUUGAAAGCAAUUCCAUACACAGAGAUACAAAGAAAGAAAAAAAGAAACAGGAAUGGAUUUCUUCUUCGUUCUCCUCUCUCCUAAGCAAUUCCAGUCCUAAAGAAGCAAAGAAAAGCA